CCUACGGGUGGCAGCAGUGGGGAAUAUUGGGCAAUGGGCGCAAGCCUGACCCAGCAACGCCGCGUGAAGGAAGAAGGCUUUCGGGUUGUAAACUUCUUUUAAGAGGGAAGAGCAGAAGACGGUACCUCUGGAAUAAGCCACGGCUAACUACGGGCCAGCAGCCGCGGUAAUACGUAGGUGGCAAGCGUUGUCCGGAUUUACUGGGUGUAAAGGGCGGGUAGCCGGGCUGACAAGUCAGAUGUGAAAUCCCGUGGCUCAACCCCGGAACUGCAUUUGAAACUGUCGGUCUUGAGUAUCGGAGAGGCAGGCGGCAUUCCUAGUGUAGCGGUGAACUGCGUAGAUAUUAGGAGGAACCCCAGUGGCGACGGCGGCCUGCUGGACGACACCUGACGGUGAGGCGCGAAAGCGUGGGGAGCAAACAGGAUUAGCUACCCUUGUAGUC
Molecule: ribosomal RNA, 442 nt
Filed under: uncultured bacterium
Lineage: Bacteria
Description: partial 16S ribosomal RNA
Rfam family: Bacterial small subunit ribosomal RNA
Source: RNAcentral